This 31-nucleotide non-coding RNA is filed under the name Mus musculus (house mouse). Lineage: Eukaryota; Metazoa; Chordata; Mammalia; Rodentia; Muridae. The record is from RNAcentral.
UGGCAUGAUCGACAACACAUGUCGGAUAUGA